GCAGCUUUGGAGAAACAGUAACAGAGACAAUGGAAUUCCUAGGGGAGAGAUUAGAUUAGAGAUUAGAAUUUUUUUAUAACAGCCAGCCUUCUGGAGAGAAGAAGGGUUCCUUCCUGGACUCAGGCUCCUAGCUGGAUAUGAACUUCUAAGUGACUUCUGGAACCAAACCUUAUGGAGAGAAGAGAGAUGAGCAUAUGGCCCCAAAGUAAAGGAGUAGCAAAGAACUGAGCCACCAUGUGAGAAAGGGAGCUUUAUCCUCAUCCUUCAUUACUAUGGGGCCCAUACCAAAACUGUAUUCUGCUGUUCCCUGGGGAUAUUCUGGUUGGAGGCAAGAUCCAAAGAGUCAUUUGUGGGAAGCUCUGGAAUACUGAAGCAGAGUGAUGCUGAAUUUUCUUCAGACUGGAAUACACAGGAGAGUUGAAGGGCUUAUAAAGCAGUUUUAUGAAGAUGACAUGUUUUUUUAAUUAAUAGAGACCCACGUAUCAGAAGAUAUGGGAUCAAAUGCACUGACUACCAGUAGAAGUAUGAUCAUGAGUAAUAAUAAUAAUAAUAAUUCUUUUAUCUCACCCUCACAAGAACCCUGAGAAGUAGUACUGCCCAUUUUAUUUAAUUUUAUUUUUUCUGGGUUAUACAUAUUAUUAUAUUAUACAUAUAUUAUCACACAAAACCUAAUUCCAUAUUACUCAUUUUUG
Molecule: long non-coding RNA, 692 nt
Filed under: Monodelphis domestica (gray short-tailed opossum)
Lineage: Eukaryota; Metazoa; Chordata; Mammalia; Didelphimorphia; Didelphidae
Description: lncRNA (ENSMODG00000044750.1)
Source: RNAcentral